This 306-nucleotide long non-coding RNA is filed under the name Gallus gallus (chicken). RNAcentral describes it as "long non-coding RNA NONGGAT003876". The record is from RNAcentral. Lineage: Eukaryota; Metazoa; Chordata; Aves; Galliformes; Phasianidae.
AAACCUUCUUGAGAAUCUAGGGGCCAAGGCUGCUACCAGUCUGCAGGUUUAUUUGGCAACACCACAGGGAUAGUUGAAGACAAACCAAGUUGAGAGAGCUGAUGAAAGCAGAAAAUAGACCUGAAUAUUAAAAAGAAACACCUCUCAUAAGUCCAGAACUUGUGACACUGAAAAGGCAGCUGAUUUUUGCAUACAGAAGUAUUUUCCUGUGUAAGAAUUUACAUGAACCACUGAGGUAGUCAAGAUUAACACAUCCCACAGAACUACAGAAGUAUACUCCACAAACUAUCCACCAGCUGAACAAAG